RNAcentral lists this ribosomal RNA (594 nucleotides) under uncultured Bacteroidota bacterium. Its description in RNAcentral is "bacterial SSU rRNA". It matches the Rfam family "Bacterial small subunit ribosomal RNA", at positions 122 to 715 of the family's 1533-position model. The record is from RNAcentral. Lineage: Bacteria; Pseudomonadati; Bacteroidota.
CAACCUGCCGCUUACUCGGGGAUAGCCUUUCGAAAGAAAGAUUAAUACCCGAUGGUAUAAAGAGUUCNCNUGUUCUCUUUAUUAAAGAAUUUCGGUAAGCGAUGGGGAUGCGUUCCAUUAGAUAGUUGGCGGGGUAACGGCCCACCAAGUCUACGAUGGAUAGGGGUUCUGAGAGGAAGGUCCCCCACAUUGGAACUGAGACACGGUCCAAACUCCUACGGGAGGCAGCAGUGAGGAAUAUUGGUCAAUGGACGAGAGUCUGAACCGGCCAAGUAGCGUGAAGGAUGACUGCCCUAUGGGUUGUAAACUUCUUUUAUAAGGGAAUAAAGUGAGGGACGUGUCCCUUUUUGUAUGUACCUUAUGAAUAAGGAUCGGCUAACUCCGUGCCAGCAGCCGCGGUAAUACGGAGGAUCCGAGCGUUAUCCGGAUUUAUUGGGUUUAAAGGGAGCGUAGGUUGACGUAUAAGUCAGCUGUGAAAGUUUACGGCUCAACCGUGAAAUUGCAGUUGAUACUGUAUGUCUUGAGUGUACAAGAGGUGGGCGGAAUUCGUGGUGAAGCGGUGAAAUGCUUAGAUAUCACGAAGAACUCCGAUUG